This 100-nucleotide small RNA is filed under the name Pongo abelii (Sumatran orangutan). Its description in RNAcentral is "processed transcript". Lineage: Eukaryota; Metazoa; Chordata; Mammalia; Primates; Hominidae. The record is from RNAcentral.
UUGAGAAGAAGGACUUGGCAGGAGUAGAAGUUGGAACAGGCCCAGGGAGCAGCUCAGCGGAAGAGAACCUACGAUGCUCACGGCCAUCUCCAUGAGUGCA